GACGAACGCUGGCGGCGUGCUUAACACAUGCAAGUUGAACGGGCAUACAUGGAAGCUUGCUGAAGUGUAUGUUAGUAGCGGACGGGUGAGUAAUGCAUGAGAAGCUGCCAUUGGGAGGGGGACAACAGUUGGAAACGGCUGCUAAUACCCCGUAUGCCGAAAGGUAAAAGGGAGCAAUCCGCCUGAUGAGGUGCUCAUGUCCUAUCAGCUGGUUGGUGGGGUAACGGCCUACCAAGGCGACGACGGGUAGCCGGCCUGAGAGGGUGAACGGCCACACUGGAACUGAGAUACGGUCCAGACUCCUACGGGAGGCAGCAGUCGAGAAUAGUCUACAAUGGCCGAAAGGCUGAUAGUGCGACGCCGCGUGAACGAAGAAGCCCUUCGGGUGUAAGUUCUUUAUUAUGUGAGCAGUGCUUUCUAUGUGAACAGCAUGGGGAGAGAGAUAUUAGCAUAUGAAUAAGCAACGGCUAACUCCGUG
This 478-nucleotide ribosomal RNA is filed under the name uncultured bacterium. RNAcentral describes it as "bacterial SSU rRNA". It matches the Rfam family "Bacterial small subunit ribosomal RNA", at positions 28 to 507 of the family's 1533-position model. The record is from RNAcentral.